This 8178-nucleotide long non-coding RNA is filed under the name Nicotiana benthamiana. Its description in RNAcentral is "long non-coding RNA (NBEN_LNC004074)". The record is from RNAcentral. Lineage: Eukaryota; Viridiplantae; Streptophyta; Magnoliopsida; Solanales; Solanaceae.
ACUCUAAACCAAGUGCAUAAGUUUAGUAUAUUUCAAGAGAGUAAGUAAGAUCCAAAAAUGUUGAUAACAAAAGAUUCCUAGAACAUUCAUCUAUAACAAUUCAAAAUUCUAUCUCAAGUUGAUAUUUUUCAUCUAUUUCUUGAUCUUCUCCACCUACAAAAUAGGAUAAAUAAUGUUAUCAAUAGUUAGACAACAGAAGAAGAAACUUACAAAUUUAAUAGAACCAAAAUUAUGGAGGGAUCACGAGGGUGGCGCAUGAUAUCAAGGCCAACAACAGGCAGACGAACCCAAAUCUUACCUUCUGGAAAAAGAAAAUCAACUGUGCAUAAAGAUUCAAACUCUUUGGCUUUAAAGGUAAUGCCUUUUAGUUUAACCUCAAAUUUAUUAGUUCUCAAAUAUAUAUUACCAGCCAUAGGUUUGUUUGUUGAAUGAGAUGAUCCUAAUAUUGUUAGUUUAGUAUAAAUAGAUGGAGAAAAGAUUAGCAAAAUGAUGAGUGUCCCAUAACAGAUGCUAGAGAAAUGAACAACUCCCCAAUGAAAAUAAGAUUUGACGCAAUAUUGCAGGGAAACAAGACAAAAUACUAGCAAGAUGCACAUGAAAAUGUCAUCAAAAUGAUAUUCAAAACUACAGAAGAAUACCAGGGAUAAAAGGAAGGAAGAUUAGUGGAUUAACAUUAAAAUUAGAUGGUUCUGCAAAAAAUUAUGACACUUGUUGGGCAAGCCUUUUGUUUGUUAGCUAUGGAUACUUUAUAUCCGCUGACUCCUAGACUUCACCAAGAAAGUGAUUGAAUCUACAGCUGAAGCAUUUUGCAUCUAUCCAGAACUUGACCAUUUUGCAUCUUCUCUAAAUGCGUCACUACUGUUUUCCAUGUGCAUUAUUUUACUUGUUUUUCUUAAUUCGUUUGGCCCUAGAUGAAGAUAGUUAAAUUUUACUUCGUAGUUUGGUUCUCCUAAAGCUAAAUAUGACAAUAAUAGUAAUGUUUCUUCUUGUCACGACCUCAGUUCACCUUCCAUGAAUAUGUCGUGAUGGCACAUAAUUCCUACAACUAGGUAAGCCUAACAACGCGAAAAUUAAUAUAACUUGCAAAAAUAUUUAAUUAAAUUAAGCAAAACUAGGAGAAAAACGGUAUAUAAGUGCCACUUGGCAUAUAUAACUCAAAAAUAAAUACGGAAGUCUACAAUUAAAUCCUAAAAACCCAGAAACUCACGGAAACCACAAGCUAAAAGAAAUACUGUAAAUGCUCUAAUCUUCAGAAUGUCUACAUCAAAAGUAUGAUAGGAUAUAAACACUACAGAUAGAAUAAGGAAGGAAACUCUUUGGUCUACGGAUGCUGCAGAUAUACCUCAAGUCUCCACUAGAUCUCUCUGUCUCGAUGAUAGUGCGCCAGAGAUGAAGUACCUGGAUUUGCACAUGAAAAACAUGCACAUGAGAGGCAUGAGUACACCACAGCGGUACUCAGUAAGUGCCAAGCCUAACCCCGGUUGGGUAGUAACGAGGAAGGUCAGGGCCCGCCUGAGAUAAACAUAGUAUAUGAUAAGAUAAGGAAAACAAUAUAGAUAAGGUCUACAACGAGAAUCUGAACAGGAUAAAUAAGGGAAACAACUAUAGGAAGCAGAAACAAAGCAAUAUAAGGAACACUACUCAUAAUAGGAAAUAAUAUCCGGAGAUAUCUUGGUAUCCUCACCACAUACACUAAUGAUCUCUUAGUAUCCCGAGGAUGUCUUGGUAUCCUCAUCAUAUUAACUAGGGAUCUCUUGGUAUCCCGAGAAUCUCUUGGUAUCCUCAUCAUAUUCCUAGGGAUCUCUUGGUAUCUCGAUGAUCUCUUGGUAUCCUCAUCAUAUUCACUAGGGAUCUCUUGGUAUCCUGAGGAUCUCUUGGUAUCCCAUAACUUACAAUUUCAUGUGCCAGAGAUCUCUUGGUAUCCCGCACCAUUAGUCCAAAAUAUAUCAAGUGCAGGGGAUUCUCCUGGGAGGCCAACCCGUAGUCCCAAUUUAAAAAACACAAUAGCAACCCAAACAUUAGAAUAGAUAGUAGACUCAAGACAAGAAAUAGAAAAUCCUAACCAGCAUACUACACGGAGCACAAAUAAGACAAUUUAAGAACUUAGGCAAGUAAGUCAAAUUAACAUGCUUCUCUAAACUAGCAUAGAAUAAACUUGCAAUUGAAACUAAACAGAUAAGCAAGAAAACUCAAUUUAAAUACUUCGAGUAAAAACGAAUUUCCACCAAUUUUCUCAAGUAUGCGCUCGUCACCUCACGUACGAGGCAUUUAAGUACCAAAAAUCAUGUCCUAAGGGGAAGAAGUCCCCCACACAAGCCUAGACAAGCCACUUAACAUGAACCAGCUCAAUAUCAACUAGAAACCACGCCUUUAUCAUGAGUAUCUGACUCCAAAUGGCCCAAUUCUAUUCAUUUCAAUUACAUCUCGUAAAUAACAUCUCAAGCAACUAAUUCCACUAUUUAAAUUCAAAGACAAGACAUAAAUUAGGUAAAAUGACAAAAACACCUCUCAGGCGAAUGUGGUCAAAACCCGAAGUUCAAACUUAAAUAUAGUUACCCAUUCCCCCACGAAUCCAAUUAUGUGAUUAGUUUUGAAAUCACACCUCGGAUUCAGGUCCAACCCCUAAUUUUAGCAAAGUCUUAGGUUCUACCCAAUAUACCCAAAUUUCCCCAUUAAAAUCUUCGAUUUGAUGUUGAAAUUAUGUUAAAGAUGUUAAGGAGUGAAGAAAAUGAGUUAGAAAUAACUUACCAAUCAUUUUGAAGAAGAAUAAUUGCUUAGAAAAUAGCCACUUAGGGUUUUUUUUUUUAAAGUGAGAAAUAACUGAAAAUUCCGUGUAUUUAUACUCUCUGACGCCCCAGUGCAAACCACACAAACAGGACCGCGGUCGCGCUUGAAAACUGGGAAAUUUGCUACCCUCUGAAACCCCCCAGUGCAGACCGUGCAAAAAAAGGAUCGUGGCCGCGUUGGUGGAACUGAAGACUGUUGGUUCUCUAAAGCUUGCCGCGUGGACUGCACGAGGAUGACUGCGGUCGUGCAGCACACACUGCGGACUGUGUUAUGGCAAACACAGCCAUGCAACGCACACCGCAGACCGCGCUAAGGCGACCGUGGGCACGCUGGAGACUGCAUUUUUCCUUACAUGCAAUAUCUGGUGUUUUAAAGUCUAAGACCUCCUGGAACCUACUCGAAACUCACAUAAGCUCUCGGGGCUCCAAACCAAACAUACGCACAACCUUGAGUACACCCUACGAACUCAUCCGCGUGAUCAAAUCGCCAAAUAAUAUCAUAUAUAUCAAAUCAAGCCUCAAAGCUCAUGAUUUCUUCUCAAAUAUUUCAUACGACAUAACAUUCCCAUUCUGGGUGCGAAACACGUCAACCGACGUCCGUUCUCAUCCAAACUUUACAAAAAAUGCUUAAAUUAUAUAUAAGACUUGUACCGAGUACCGAAACCAAAAUACGGGCCCAAUACCCUAGUACUAAUCAAAUUUUGUUUCCAUUUCCCUUCAUUAUUUUCCAGAAAAUAAUUUCACAUAAAAAUUUAUUUCUCAGACUUGGGACGUCGGAAUUCGAUUCCGACUAUACGCUCAAGUCUUAUAUUUUUCCACGGACCCUCCGUGACCAUCGAAUCACAGGUCUGGGUCUGUUUACCAAAACGUUGAUCGAAGUCAAAUUUAUUCAAUUAGUAUCAAAAUUUAGCAGUUUUCUUACAGAAUUUGUAUAUAAGUUUUGUGGUUACGUGUUGGAACCGCGCACAUAAACCGAGACAACCCGAGAGGAAGUUUUAAGGCCUCGAAAGUAAAGAACAAAAAAUAAAUAAGUGAUAACCCCAUUGGGUUGUCACACUUCUUUUUCAUUUGUAGGUUGACUUGGUGGGCAAUUGACCAAGUUUUAAAAUAAAUGGAUAGUCUCUAUUGAACCUAGCAUUACUAAAUAUCGUAAGGAUGACUUUAACCUUACUAGAGUAGGAUAAAUAUACCAUCAUGAAGUGUUUGGCAUGCAGGAAAAUUAUUUUUCCUUAAAAAUGCUUCACUUAGAGAAAUUAAUUUUUGAUGAUUUUCUAGUGUUUGGUAGAGCAUAAAGUAAGUUAUAUGUGAUAAUUGUAUAAUUUGGAGGAUAUGGUUUCCUGAUACUAUUUUGGUGAUAUCUUUUGAAUAUUAAAUACUCAAAACAAUGUCCAUAUAUUGGUUGAAGCAAGUGGCAGGAGUAAUAUUUCAGAUAGUUGUGAAGGAAAAUGACAAGUGACAGAUAUCAUUUUAGUUUCCAUAAUCUAAGUUAACGAAAUGCUGGAAUGGGAAAACAUAUACAAUAUUUUCUAUAGUUAACUUGAGCUAUUUAUGCUGUCUAUGUUUUUAAAUCUUAAUUCAUCUAUUUUCCAAAUUAAUCUAUUAUGUUAUCUAUUUUCUUGAUCGAUCCAACUUGAAACUAAUACAUUAAGCUUCCUGAGCUAUUGAGCUAUCUAUCUACUAAAUCAGUUUAUUGUAUUUUUACUUACAGAUGGAGAAACUGUAAGUUGUUUUCCUCUAUUCACAACCUUGUGUUGAUGGAGGAUUGUUGCAUCCAGCUUCCUAUCCAAUAAGAGAAUAUCAAUCCUGUCUUUAAGGAGAACCUUAAAUGAUUCAUAUUAGUGUGAAAAUUGCAUAUUUAUCAUUAUUUAUAUUUUUUACAUUUUAAUUGGUACAUUGUAUAACUCACUAAUAUACAAUUAAAAGCAUUCUAACCAAGUCAGUGAAGUCCUCAUCAAACUUAUUCACACAUCUAUAUCACUAUCCAAUUAUAAAAAUAUAACGCAAACACUAAUCCAAAAUUGCUACAAGAAUGAGCCUUAGAGCUACAUCUUACCAAUGUAGAAUGCCCGAAAAAGCAGGAACCCCAAACAAGACAACCAAGUUUGACACAUAAGUACCAAGUCCCAACCACAACUACAACCUCAACCAUUGACUUUUAGUCAAUAGGAAGAAAAAAAGAUAUUACCAUAUCCACUCUGCCUUGAACCAAAGCAAAAUCUCAAGCAAGGAAAGAUGAGAGGAAGAAAUAGAAGAAGAUAUAUAAUUGUUGGUACAUACUGACCUUGGUUGUUACUACUAGUAUUGUUACUAUCAGAAGAUGGAUGGUCGACUGUUUAGUUGAACAACAACUUGUUGUGCAGAGGAAUCUUAUACAAGUGAACGUGCAUUGAUCAGAAACAGCCUAGAUUUCAACUUUUAGUUACUGUAGUUCUGCUGUUAAAUUGAAAGCAAAAGAAAAUGGGUUAUUAAACAGGAAUAAAUAGGACAAUAUUAGUUUUUUAAAUAGGAAUAAACAGGAAACUAUCAGCAAGAAUGUAGAUGCUUUACCGAACUAACCCAAGCAGAAUGUAGAUCUUAGAAAAUUACAAAUAAGCAAAAAAUGGGUUGUUGGUCUCCUGAAAAUGCCACUAAAGCUUUUCUCAAAACCAUGGACAUGGAAAUUACAAUUAUGAACUUAUCAUAUCUGAAAUCUGAUAUACAAUUCAAAUAAUAUUUUCUUCUCAAGAUGUUACUAAUGUCAUGUUGAUCUGGUGUAGGGAAAGAGAGCUAUAUUACCAAAUGGAGCAGAGUUCAUUUUCACGCUCGUAGUAGGAAAUAAUGUACAACUUAUGGUAUUUGCUUGUGCAAAUGUUGCAGACUCCACCACCUUGCACUGGUGGCAACAACUCAACAAACAGAAGGUUGAUACAUUACACUUACUACAAGAUACAACUAGUCUUUUAGAUAAUUUCAGUAGAUUGGAAUUGUAAAUACCUAUUUAAUGUAGAACACUUCAGCUUUCAUGGAAAACUACCAAAGAUUCAAAUAUACGCAGAGGAAAAUAAGAAAGAGAGCUGUCAAACAUGAUACUUAUCCGUAUAUUGAAAAAUAGGACACCAAUCUGCACAAAACAAUAUUAAAAUGAAGAGGUAGCAUGAUGAUUUGGCAUAUCACCUAUUCAGUUAUUAGAAUGUUCUUGUCUCUUUGACAUGAUAUACUUUAGAAGAAGCUAAAGGUUUCUCAAUCAAGUAUGGUUUAUCUUAGUGAUAUGAAUAUUUUUAUUAAAAAGAGAAAAGAUUACUCAUGCAUUAUGUCAUAUUAGGAUGUAGAUGGUUCUUUAUCUUAUGUUUCCCUGUUCUUUCUUGAUGAUGUGGUCUGAUUUUACAGAUGCAUCUAAUAGAAAAAUGGAUAACCUUUAGAUGGUACCAAAGAAGUUCUUCGCAUCAUCAAUAGUGGAGAAGAGAAACCAUUUGAUUCCUUAAGUAUAUUAUUAAGAGUAAAAAAAGUACUAGCAUUAAGAUUCUGUAACUUUUUUUUAUUUGCACUAGAUGUCCGAGUCUCUAAGACUCCCGACUAUUCCCGAGGGUGCACAGGCCAUCGGUAAGGAGUUUACCGUAAGUGCACCAUGGUUAAUUCAGGUUUUACCCAGUUCAAUGGCCCUCAAAAAUUGUUUGCACCCAGUGCGUUUCAAACUUGAUGUCUUGAAUGGGAGCAAACUCCAAGGCUCAAGUCAAUUGCCACUACGCCAAACCUUGAGGGUUAUUAAGAUUCUAUAACUUCAAAAGUCAAUUAAUAGAAAAUUUCAUUCAUUCUUGAUAUUUCCAUCAGCUUUCACACUAGAGAAAAUUGAACCUGUUUUAAGCAAACUAUCUUUUACGAGAAUGUUUUUAUUUAGAAAAACUAAAGAUAGAGAUGGAGGAAUUAUACAUACCUACUCUGCCCCUUCAACACAGGUAGUUCUGCCUCUGAAUACUACUGCUGCUGAUAAGGAAAAUAUGAACCUCACAAAGAAUCAAAUAUUUAGCCUAUCUAAAUGAAAUGCAAAACACUACUACAAGUGCUCUUUGUUUUUGUUCUUUUGCAGAAACAAACUCGAAUGUGGUACACAAACAACUAACAAACCGUCAGAUGCAACUAGUUUUUACUGCAUUCUCUCAUUAUAUUGUGGUUACUAGUUUAGCUUAACAGUUUCAAAAGAGCUAUAAUAAGAUUAUUAGUACGAUAAAACUGUGAUCCAUGAAAAGGUGUACAAUUUUUUCUUUUCCUCUUUUCACAUUUUUUUAUCUCCAUUAUGCCAAAAGGACUGAAAGCAAACAACUUGAUAAGUCUAGGAGACUAGCUUAUAUCCUGUAUCUCAUCAGUCUUUACAAAAAUAUUUUGUAUAGAGAAAUAUUUUUGUAAUAAAAUCAAGUUCUAGUGUUUGAAAUUUCUUAUAUUUAAGAAAGUUAUUAAUGCACAGAGACGUUUUCCUUUAAUAAAUGCUAACUUAUACUUGGUUUAAUCAACCGUUAGAGAGUAUAUUUAAGUUUUGAUACCUAAAAAUAUCUUCUAUACAUCCUUCGCCCUUGUACAAUUACCACGCAUAUUUUACAGUAUAAAAUAUUUCAUAUGAAUAACACUUUCCUCCUUCUGAACUACACCUAAAAGAAAAUAUGAAAGUCUAAAAUGGAUAUACAACCUACCUCUCCAAUCUUGAUUGAUCAAAAUCUCGACAACAUCAGUAGGCAAUCGUAAAAGGUUUUUUUUCCUAAAAAUCAAGGAACAAAGAAGGGAAAAAGGGAAGAUUGUUGAGGAAUCUCUCAGAAACACUAAAAAUCAAUUAAAAAAAUAAUCCACUAUUCUACAAAUUGCAGAAAUAGCAUAAGAAGUAAUAAUAAAACGGAAAAUCAAGGGAGUACAAGGAAAUCGCAAAAAAACAGAAUAACCGUCAAUUAAAUCGAUAAAAAAUAGUUAAAACUAAUUCAGCACACAACUGUUAGAAUGGGUUCGAAAUAAACCCGAUUCUAGGGUUUUGUUAAAUGGGUUUGUUAUUGUUGUGGUUAUAAACAUGCUUGGAAAAGAGAGUAGGAUUUUAGUGGCAUCAUCAUUGCUUCAUAAUUUGCAUAAAGAUGGUUUUGAUAUCGAUGUUUAUGCAUAUACUUCUUUAAUUAAUAGUUUGCGCGUUAUCGGAGGUACAGAGAUGCGGUUAAACAGAAGGGAUGACUGAGAUUUUAAAGAAAAUAAACAAUAAUGGUAGAAUACAUGUUGGAAUCAUAAUGAAAAAUGCAACUUACCUAUGUCGCCGAUGGUGGUUUGUCUUCCUCGUAAUCUCCGGCGAAUGUUUUUGGGAGAAAGAGGUCGGAACUUUUUGGAAGAGAUGGUAUUUGUUCUCGUAAUCUCCGCGUGUAUAGGUAUAUUGUUAGGUUUUAUUAUU